UACGUAGGGGGCAAGCGUUGUCCGGAAUUAUUGGGCGUAAAGCGCGUGUAGGCGGUCCGGUAAGUCCGCUGUGAAAGUCAAAGGCUCAACCUUUGAAUGUCAGCGGAUACUGCCGGGCUAGAGUCCGGAAGAGGCGAGUGGAAUUCCUGGUGUAGCGGUGGAAUGCGCAGAUAUCAGGAGGAACACCAACGGCGAAGGCAGCUCGCUGGGACGGUACUGACGCUGAGGCGCGAAAGCGUGGGGAGCGAACAGG
This 253-nucleotide ribosomal RNA is filed under the name uncultured bacterium. RNAcentral describes it as "partial 16S ribosomal RNA". It matches the Rfam family "Bacterial small subunit ribosomal RNA", at positions 524 to 776 of the family's 1533-position model. The record is from RNAcentral.